AACGUUUGCUGCGAUUUGUUAUAAAUAAAGACAGUUCUAAGUGUUUGCACCAAGAGGAGCACGUCCGUGUCGGAGGAUCCGGGGCUGAGAGGCAUCUUCCACUUCAGCGUCCAGGAAGAAGUGGUACGCCAUGGGUCACCUUGGGAGCUACAUUUUUGCUUUGCUGUUGAUCAGUGCAAGCUGGCUGGCGUUAGAUGCCCAGCCAUAUGUGUAUCAUUUCAACUGCAAUAAUCCGCAAGGUCUCUUCUACAUUAGCAACCCAGCUUGGACAGGGACAGUGUCCGGCGAUGCUCCCACGCGCUGUACUGGUCCACAUAUUCUUUUACCAGAUUCAGAAGCAAGUUCAACCUGCGUCCAGAAUUACAUUGCCCAUAUUAACUCUCAACUCGGGACCAUGAGUACCGUAUAUACAGAUUUGAAUGGAGCAGUGUCAUGCUACCCAAAGGUGUCUCCAUGCCCUUCCACAGGAACGAUUGUCAUGUGCCGCAUUACCUUACCUGCCGCUAGCAAUGCUUCCACCAACCCACGAUGUCCACAAAAUCUACAGAUCUCAAAUGGCAAAGUACUGUACCCGUCAGGAAACAUAUUUCCAUCACAAUCAUUCGACACAUGCAACCAAGGAUACUCCAUCAGUGGCUUUAGACUUGCUGAGUGCAGCCCAGGGGGCACCUGGGGGAACCGUGUGGCCACUUG
Molecule: long non-coding RNA, 693 nt
Organism: Sycon ciliatum
Lineage: Eukaryota; Metazoa; Porifera; Calcarea; Leucosolenida; Sycettidae
Exons: 4
Source: RefSeq, a predicted model, not a curated record